CUGCUUGGGCGCUCUCUAAACCUGCCCUGUUGUUUGGGGGUUAUCUCUCAGCUGCCGCAAGGUCCAUGUUCAAGGUGGCAGCGCAGACACUCUGCGCCCUCCCCGGGCUCUGCAUUAGCUGGGCACUUUCCCCGGCACAUGACAUUUGCACACGCCAUGCCCUCAGCAGACAGAGCGGCCGAACUCCGAGCGCGGGCACCUAGAGGAAGGCUGGUGGCAUGAGGCACAACCCAUGCUAUACCUGCGCAGGGCCGGAUUAAACUUCUGUGGGCCCGUCCCCAAACAUAUUUGUGGGGGCAAUGGAGCGUGGCAUGAGAGGGUCGGUCCCCGGAGUGAGGGGCCAGCCAGGGGCAUGGCAUGGCAGGGGCGGCCCCACUCUGCCCAGCCCAGUGCAGUUGCCAGACGCACAAUGGCCCGCCUGGCCCUGUGCUGCCAGCAUGCCCCUUCCCUUGGGGGUGGGCCCAUGCCACGCCCCACAGCCCCCAUGCCCAACACUGGAACACCCCCUAUGGCCAAAACCUCCCCAGACCCGCUAUGCCCAGCGCCCCCCCAGACCCUGCCAAAAAUGCACAGUGCCCAGCACAACACCGCAACUGCCCAGCGCCCCGCUGCCCACAGCCCCACCACAAUUGCCCAGCUCCCCACACAAAACCUCCACUCCCUUGUUCCACAGCACAUACAGGUCUUUCCCGCCCCUCACAGCCCAGCACCCCGCCGAACCCCCAGAGACCCCCUCCCCCACGCCCUACCUCCUGGCCGCACUCACUGGCCCUCUGGGAGGUGACUGUGUCUGCCGGGCUGAGCCGGCAGCAUAGCCAGGGCUGGUCCUGGGGCGGGGAAUCGCUCCGGCCCCUCAGGAGUGGCGCGAUCAGCCAGGCCAGGGCCUGUCCGGGCCGGGCUCCCUCAGGACCCACUUGCCUGGAGCGGCCUAGCCCAGCCCCCCACACUGUGUCUGUUCCCCCCAACCGGCUGAGACUGGCCAGGCUUCUGGACCCGUCCCAGCCGGCUCAGCUCCGGGGAGACAGGUGGGACCCCACAGAUGGGAAGCUGAGACUGCCUGGAGCUGGAGGGGCACUGGGGUCCGGCCAGGGGGCAGAGAGAAGCCAGCGGGCAGGUCCAGGGGGUGGAGAGGAGCCCUCGGCCAGCCGGCGGUCUGAGAGGAGCAAGUUAUGGGCGGGGCUCCAUGGUGCCACUGGCGCCAUUGUAAACCCGGGAUUGUACCUGCGCUGUAAGGAGACAUUCCAUCUGUCCAUGGUACUUACGCAGCCCCCAUUACCGUACUACCUGAGCACCUCACAAUCUCUACCAUAAAUAUCCUCACAACCCCCCUGUGAGGCAGGGCAGUGCUGUUUUCCCCACUACACAGAUUGGGCAUGGAGGCACCGAGUGGUUGACUUGUCACAGGUCACACAGGGAGUCUGUGGAAGUGCAGAGAAUUGAACCUGUAUCUCCCAAGGCCUAGGCAACCACCCUAACUACUGGGUCAUUCUUCCUCUCUUGUGCAGUUUUUAUUUGCUCGGACUCUGGGUUCUUGGUUUGACUGAUUCUCUCUGUAGCCACCAGAAAGCUACCGGAAGAAUGAGCUUCUUCCAUCACAGUGGGCAGAGCAUCAGAGUCUUGCACAAUACCAUUGGGACAAUUGGGGCACUAGGAGGAAACCAAGAAAAACAGUCUGAGAGACUUGGAAUCCACCAGAACACUGCCCGAGCAGCUGUGAACCUAUGUCACUAGGCCUUGAAUGUUAUAGGUGGUAAUCACAGUAAUUUGGACAUCACUGCAACCAGGUGCUUCCUGUUACGUUGGCUGUGUAAAGAGCAAAAGAUGCAACAGAAACAAUUAUGGUAAGGGUGUUAGGACUGUGUGCUUUUUGCAGCAGGUAGUUCUGAGUUCUAACAACCAUGAAGUUCUUUGGUGGCCAAGGAUUUGUUGUACUAUAUGUUUAAAACACAAUAAAAUGUGCCUUGCUUUAA
Molecule: long non-coding RNA, 1970 nt
Organism: Chrysemys picta bellii (western painted turtle)
Lineage: Eukaryota; Metazoa; Chordata; Testudines; Emydidae
Source: RefSeq, a predicted model, not a curated record